CGUCACUUGUCGACUCUCCAACAACAACAACAACAACAAUCGGACAGCUCACCCGGGACAUCCGCGCAACUUCUCUCUCGUUAUCGCCGCCCCUAAGCCCCAAUUGUUACAUGCCACAUCACCCAAUAAAUUCCCGUAAAAAAGGAAUUCACUGACGUGGCAACUGCAGGGACCGCCAUGAUUAUUGUGUGUCGCAGAGGAUUGUUGCUCAUCUCUCACAUGAUUGAACCUGUUGAUUGAUUAAAUUCUGGCUUGGCUUUCUUUUCACACAACCUCUCCCACAGAGAAGACUGUUAAAGACUGGG
RNAcentral lists this unclassified non-coding RNA (305 nucleotides) under Hevea brasiliensis (rubber tree). The record is from RNAcentral. Lineage: Eukaryota; Viridiplantae; Streptophyta; Magnoliopsida; Malpighiales; Euphorbiaceae.